Long non-coding RNA from Bombus pascuorum, 313 nucleotides. RefSeq lists it as uncharacterized. The transcript has 2 exons. The record is from RefSeq and is a predicted model, not a curated record. NCBI's taxonomy places the organism in Eukaryota, Metazoa, Arthropoda, Insecta, Hymenoptera, Apidae.
AACCGUCGCGAUUUCACUACCAUUUUUUCGAUAAAGCAGUAAUCGUUGCUGACAUUACACAAACCACCCUACGCUUCACAAACCUCACGUGCAUUUACUACUUGAAAUGCGUGUGAUAGGGCGAGUCUUAUCUGCAAAUGUUCUCUCUCACUGUAUCGCAAAAGUACGACCUGUUAUCAUAAUAAUGUAUGCACCACAAAGAGUUUUUUUCCAUUUUUCCAUGCACAACACAAACCGUAAAAGAAAUUAAGGUGCCUUUGACGAGAUAUUUAAAAAAUUUAUUUCACACAAGAUGGACUUUUUCAAGUAGCCU